RNAcentral lists this ribosomal RNA (735 nucleotides) under uncultured Fusobacterium sp. RNAcentral describes it as "bacterial SSU rRNA". It matches the Rfam family "Bacterial small subunit ribosomal RNA", at positions 28 to 776 of the family's 1533-position model. The record is from RNAcentral. Lineage: Bacteria; Fusobacteriati; Fusobacteriota; Fusobacteriia; Fusobacteriales; Fusobacteriaceae.
GAUGAACGCUGACAGAAUGCUUAACACAUGCAAGUCAACUUGGAUUUGGGUUUUUAACUUAGGUUUGGGUGGCGGACGGGUGAGUAACGCGUAAAGAACUUGCCUCACAGCUAGGGACAACAUUUGGAAACGAAUGCUAAUACCUAAUAUUAUGAUAAUAGGGCAUCCUAUAAUUAUGAAAGCUAUAAGCGCUGUGAGAGAGCUUUGCGUCCCAUUAGCUAGUUGGAGAGGUAACGGCUCACCAAGGCGAUGAUGGGUAGCCGGCCUGAGAGGGUGAUCGGCCACAAGGGGACUGAGACACGGCCCUUACUCCUACGGGAGGCAGCAGUGGGGAAUAUUGGACAAUGGACCGAGAGUCUGAUCCAGCAAUUCUGUGUGCACGAUGAAGUUUUUCGGAAUGUAAAGUGCUUUCAGUUGGGAAGAAAAAAAUGACGGUACCAACAGAAGAAGUGACGGCUAAAUACGUGCCAGCAGCCGCGGUAAUACGUAUGUCACGAGCGUUAUCCGGAUUUAUUGGGCGUAAAGCGCGUCUAGGUGGUUAUGUAAGUCUGAUGUGAAAAUGCAGGGCUCAACUCUGUAUUGCGUUGGAAACUGUAUAACUAGAGUACUGGAGAGGUAAGCGGAACUACAAGUGUAGAGGUGAAAUUCGUAGAUAUUUGUAGGAAUGCCGAUGGGGAAGCCAGCUUACUGGACAGAUACUGACGCUGAAGCGCGAAAGCGUGGGUAGCAAACAGG